Tripterygium wilfordii is the source of this 416-nucleotide long non-coding RNA. RefSeq lists it as uncharacterized. The transcript is spliced from 3 exons. The record is from RefSeq and is a predicted model, not a curated record. NCBI's taxonomy places the organism in Eukaryota, Viridiplantae, Streptophyta, Magnoliopsida, Celastrales, Celastraceae.
UUCAUUCUAUAAUCUUUACCUACUGUGGCCAUUGGAUGUUUUGAAGCUAUCUUGGAGAAUACUUCCCUCCAAUUUGGCCUUGCAAAGUGUGUCCUUACCUGCAAAAGACUUCGUUAACAGUCAUUCCCAAAUAGGAUGGCGUGGGCAUUACAACCAUGUCAGCAGGGAACUUACUCGGGUUCCAGAAAGGAUGUCAACCCCAUGUUUGGCGUGGUUGAGAGCUUGGACCAUGGUGAUCAAUGUUGAUCUUGCAUCACUCUCUUCAUAAACACUUGUAAGGGUCCUUUCUGCCACAUACAGCAACAGCGGCACAGAAAUAUACAUCCCUGUCUGGGAAGGUCACACAGCUUUCAACAUUAGUCAGCCGCAGUCUGGUUCAUGCUUUUCGUAUAAACAAAAUGUUCAGAGUUCUUACU